Gasterosteus aculeatus aculeatus (three-spined stickleback) is the source of this 1984-nucleotide long non-coding RNA. The record is from Ensembl. Lineage: Eukaryota; Metazoa; Chordata; Actinopteri; Perciformes; Gasterosteidae.
UUGACACAACAUUAACAACUAUAAACUGCUUUAUAAUGGCUGGUCGUAGUUCUGCUAGAGGGUCAAGGACGGGUUCCUCAAAACUGUUAGUGUUUCCACACCACUUAGCAUAAACAUAUGCUGACCUUUCUGCUCUGCAUCUAUCGAUUGAUCCGCAGACAGACGAGAAGAAACUGCUGAAUGCUCUCAGUGGAUCGUCUCGUCAACUCCAACAACAAACUGCCGAUAUCAACGAGCGGUUCGCCCCACUGGAGCGUUCGGGACUCUCCGGGUUUCUGUCCAUGGAGGAGAGGAUGGCGGCUCUGGAGGAACUGACUCAAAGAAGAGGAGACGGGCGCACAAUCCCAAGAUAGCGACUAAUCUCGCCUCAUAAUGAGGCGGUGACCUCGUAUUUGCUCCGGGAAAAGUCCAGAUUUAGACAACGUCAUUGUGUGUAAGUGACACUGUUUACUGUUUCUCCUUCCUUGUUAAAUGUUACUGUCACUUGCGUUUGAUUUUUUUUUAUUCAUACCACACUCAUUUAAUUGUUUUCCAUCCGCCUGUGAGACGUAUUGUGAGACGGGACGCAGGAGCUUCAGGUUUUCCCAGCCGGAACACUCAUUGCGGGCGGAAGCUGCGAAGGAUUCAGCGCGGAGUCGAGCGAGAAGAAAGAGGCUGCUAGAAUCGAGACAAAGUGUGCUGGCUGAUGACGAGGUGGAACUCUGGAAAUCCACCACCGUAGAGCUCACGUCGGACGGAGAGGACGGCGUUGUUGGCGGGGUCUCGGGGUGGAUUGUACGGUCGCUGCUAUUUCUGAGUCAGUCCCGGUUAGAGGCGACUCAGAAAUACAGAUCCUCACACAUUAGGCGCCUGCACAACAGACCUGCCUCGGAAAACACGGCGCCAGUGACGGUCUACAACCCCAAGGAGGCAAACGGACAGUUUACAGAGCUGUAGUUUUUUAAACCGCCUUUACCCAAGUGUGGGCAGAUCCUCACUUUGUAUGUAGUUGUUGUUUGUAUGUUGUCAAUAAAGCUCUUUCUUUGCAUAAACAUGUGGCAAAUGUUCAUUUUAUCUAUAAAUUCAUUGAUGUCCUGGUUGGUAUCCUAAUAAUAGUGUAGUAGCCUACAUAGGAUAACCAUGAAAUGAAUAUACAGCAUAAUAUGAAUAUAUAAAUAAAAUGAGGCGGGUGACCAAUAGCGACAGAUCUGCCAACCAAUCACGAGUGAUUGAAAGUUGUGGUUUCAUCCAAUCAUGAACGAGGAAACUCAAGCCUGGUCUGCCCAGGUGUGGUUUUGCUGCCAAUCACGAGUGAUUUUAUUUGUUAGUAAGUUGUGGUUUCAUCCAAUAAGGAGUAAGGAUAUUCAAGCCCGCUCGGCUCGGCCACCCGCGUUUUCGCUGCAUUCAUAUGCUAAUUCGGGCCAUUUGCACAUCUGCCAGCUCUCCACCUACGUCAUGGUUCGUUUCCGACAAUUUGUGGCACAGACAAACGCGACAUGUGCGGGUUGCAAAUUGUCGGAAAUUAGGGAGAUUUCCGGGCGUUUACGGGGACGAAAAUCUCACUUUUCAUGCAGUGUAACCCCGACCAGGCUCCAAUUAUUGAACACAUAUUCUUACAGUAAUGUACACUUUAUUACGUUUGUAACUAGCUUUCAUUCUAAAUUGAAUUCCUUGAAAGUUAGCGGGAAGGAGUUGCGUUACUCGCAUUCUUCCAGCUAACGUUGCAUUCGGAGGAAAAGAGACGACGAUUCAGAUGAGCCAUCUUUAGCCGUCUUCGGCAUAUUUAUUUUACGAGCUGCCGCUGACACAUCAGUCUCACGGUCAGACAGCUUUCAUAGCUUCUUCAUAUAAAACGGCAAAACAUUUUGGGACAAACAAAACAGCAAUGCAAACGAGUGCCCCCUUGUGGCUCAUGCACAACACAGAUCAGCACUGUACUACACCAUCACCACAACUGAGGACAUAAUGAACAUAUCCCAACAGAAGGUCUAACCGUUUCUCAAAG